Molecule: long non-coding RNA, 396 nt
Organism: Prionailurus viverrinus (fishing cat)
Lineage: Eukaryota; Metazoa; Chordata; Mammalia; Carnivora; Felidae
Exons: 3
Source: RefSeq, a predicted model, not a curated record
CAAACACCCAACCAGGGAGCAAGGACAUCAGCUGAGGCAUCAGGGAUGUCUGAGCUACUUUUGGAGGCUCUGAUAAACAAGCAGGUCAUCUGUAACUAGUGUCCUUUUAAGAAGAGGACACUUGGACACAACAUGCACUGCACACACAGUAAAAGACCAAGCGAGGACACAGCAAGCAAGAAGGCAGCCAUCUGCAAGCCAAGGAGAUCGGCCUCCGGAGAAAACAACCCCACCAAUAUCUCGGUCUGGGACUUCUAGCCUCCAGAAUAGUGUGGGCAUGCAGGUUUUUGAGAAGAGGCAACACAGGUGAGAGAAGACCCAGAAGCAGAUGGUGGGGAUGUCCUUCCAGGAGUCAUCUUCAUUACCCUGGCAAUCUUUAAAGUAUUUAUCAAGUCA